UACUGCAUUUGCAGAACUUGUUUCC
RNAcentral lists this non-coding RNA (25 nucleotides) under Rattus norvegicus (Norway rat). Lineage: Eukaryota; Metazoa; Chordata; Mammalia; Rodentia; Muridae. The record is from RNAcentral.